Podarcis lilfordi (Lilford's wall lizard) is the source of this 487-nucleotide non-coding RNA. The record is from the annotation of a GenBank genome assembly. NCBI's taxonomy places the organism in Eukaryota, Metazoa, Chordata, Lepidosauria, Squamata, Lacertidae.
UUGAAAGACUGGAUAACGCUAGAAAACAGAGACAUCUUGGAUCUUGAAGGCUUCGAUAACAGGUACGGGUGGCACUCGUACCUGUGGUAUGAAAAGGUGAAAGUACAUAGAGGCUUUUUAAACCAUAUUUUUAGAGGGCCAAUAUUCCAAGUAUGGGAAAGAAAUAAAAACCUAUUGGAAAGGAAGACACCCUGGUGGAUCUCACCAACAGAGGUGUUAACGGUCAAAAAGUUAAUAUGGAAGGGAAGAAUCCUACCUAUGAAGAACUGACUAGGAAAACGGAUCAAGGUAUAAAACUUAGACCCUAUGAAGAGAUUAAAAACUCAUUUACUGGGUGGUUGCAAUACCACCAGGUAAAUGACCUGUUAAAAGAAGAUAAAAAGAAAAUAGGAUUCGAAGAUAAAAAAUCCAAAUUCAAUGUGGAAGUUGUUGAAGGAAAGAACAAAAUACUGUCUAGAAUAUACGAUAUUUUAUUGGAGUGGUAUAC